GUUUUUCUAAUCCGCCAAGGUGUGCGCGCCCCCAUGGGGCCGCAUUAAACGGGAAGCCGGUGCGCUCGCAGGAGCAAACCCGGCGCUGCCCCCGCAACGGUAAUCGACCGCGAUCAGCCGAUCGCAGUCCGCUCAACGGCCACUGUGCACAGCACGGGAAGGCGAGCGGGCCGAGUCGAGAGCCCGGAGACCGGCCUGGACGGAUUCGACUGG
This 213-nucleotide non-coding RNA is filed under the name Stutzerimonas balearica. Lineage: Bacteria; Pseudomonadati; Pseudomonadota; Gammaproteobacteria; Pseudomonadales; Pseudomonadaceae. The record is from RNAcentral.